Molecule: ribosomal RNA, 378 nt
Filed under: uncultured Actinomycetes bacterium
Lineage: Bacteria; Bacillati; Actinomycetota; Actinomycetes
Description: bacterial SSU rRNA
Rfam family: Bacterial small subunit ribosomal RNA
Source: RNAcentral
UAAGACGGAGGAGGCAAGCGUUGUCCGGAAUCAUUGGGCGUAAAGAGCGCGUAGGCUGUUUUUCAAGUCAUAUGUGAAAACCUCAGGCUUAACUUGAGGACUGCAUAUGAAACUGGAAAACUUGAGUGCAGUAGGGGAAAGUGGAAUUCCUGGUGUAGCGGUGAAAUGCGCAGAUAUCAGGAAGAACACCGGUAGCGAAGGCGGCUUUCUGGGCUGCUACUGACGCUGAGGCGCGAAAGCUAGGGGAGCAAACAGGAUUAGAUACCCUGGUAGUCCUAGCUGUAAACGAUGGACACUAGGUGUGGGGAGUUAUCGACGCUUUCCGUGCCGGAGCUAACGCAUUAAGUGUCCCGCCUGGGGAGUACGGUCGCAAGGCUG